This is a long non-coding RNA of Oncorhynchus tshawytscha (Chinook salmon), 438 nucleotides long. The record is from Ensembl. NCBI's taxonomy places the organism in Eukaryota, Metazoa, Chordata, Actinopteri, Salmoniformes, Salmonidae.
CAGUGGCUCUUGGGUCUGUGUACCCACAUCCAUACCACUCUACAAAAGGGGGAGGCCUGCUGGCCACCAGUUGCCCAUCCCUGAUACAAAUCAUCAUGAUAUCAUUCUGCCAGGAUGGUUUCCCUUAGCAGCUCCCUGCUUGGAUAACGUUACCGCUGUGCUGUUGUGAUUCUCCGGAUAAUGGGUCUCCCAUUCCUAACAGAGCUUUCUUGGAUUUGAAAACCAGAGAGAGUCAAGGCAAAAGAGAAGUUGCAGUCAGGCAGCAGGGACGGUGUGAGGUGCCGGUAAGGCGCCAGGAAUAGAGAGUGAACUGUGCUGCCUGCCUCUGGAGGACAUGCUCAUGUCCCCUUGUUGACCACUUCCUCCCUUUGCUCAAGCCAUGUCACUCCAUCUUUUGUGGGCUUGAAUCUAAAUCGUAGCCCAGACCUAACUGUGUCA